This 411-nucleotide ribosomal RNA is filed under the name Triticum aestivum (bread wheat). RNAcentral describes it as "partial small subunit ribosomal RNA". The record is from RNAcentral. Lineage: Eukaryota; Viridiplantae; Streptophyta; Magnoliopsida; Poales; Poaceae.
AUGCGAAUCAACAAAACUGAGGAGGUGAUGCUUAGUGACGAGACAGAAGAUGAUUUUAUUAGGAGCUUCACUUUUUAUUUCCUAUCAUCUAUUUUGUGCCCUGCGUCAUACUGCUUUGGUAAUAGCAAGUUCUUAUACUCUCUAAGAGAUGUGUCUGCUAUCCCUCCACUUGAUUUUGGGCAAUUGGCACUGGAUUUAAUGCGUGAGGAGUCAGAGUGUCACUUUGAAAUGAUCAUGAACAGACGUGUUGAGGAAAUGAACAAGGCUUCAUAUAUUGGGGAUGUCUUCAUAUUUGGGGAGUCAACAAUGCCAAUAGUGUUCUUGAAGCUCUCAAUGAGGAAACGUCAAUUCAUUCAAAAAGUCCUCGUAUCAUUUCAGAAGGUCCCAGUUGCUCUGCAAAAGUUAAACUAG